GAAGGGUAGCGAAGAGGCUAAACGCGGCGGACUGUAAAUCCGCUCCUUCGGGUUCGGGGGUUCGAAUCCNACGC
Molecule: transfer RNA, 74 nt
Filed under: Streptococcus pneumoniae
Lineage: Bacteria; Bacillati; Bacillota; Bacilli; Lactobacillales; Streptococcaceae
Description: tRNA-Tyr(gta)
Rfam family: tRNA (bases 7-72)
About the family: Transfer RNA (tRNA) molecules are approximately 80 nucleotides in length. Their secondary structure includes four short double-helical elements and three loops (D, anti-codon, and T loops). Further hydrogen bonds mediate the characteristic L-shaped molecular structure. tRNAs have two regions of fundamental functional importance: the anti-codon, which is responsible for specific mRNA codon recognition, and the 3' end, to which the tRNAs corresponding amino acid is attached (by aminoacyl-tRNA synthetases). tRNAs cope with the degeneracy of the genetic code in two manners: having more than one tRNA (with a specific anti-codon) for a particular amino acid; and 'wobble' base-pairing, i.e. permitting non-standard base-pairing at the 3rd anti-codon position.
Source: RNAcentral